Molecule: long non-coding RNA, 618 nt
Filed under: Prunus persica (peach)
Lineage: Eukaryota; Viridiplantae; Streptophyta; Magnoliopsida; Rosales; Rosaceae
Description: long non-coding RNA (PPER_LNC004957)
Source: RNAcentral
UCUCUUUUUGUAACUCUCUGAGGGUUAUUUGUUUUUGACAGAGAAAAGAGUUGUGAUUUUGCUCUUACAGGAUAAAACUAGAUCAUCAAGCGCUACGUUAUAUUUACUAGGGCGAUACGAGCUUGAAUGAUACUUGAGAAAAAUUUCUCCCACCUAAGGAUGUAAGCAAUACUUGUGUUAUUUUUAUGCUUAUAUACUUAUUUGAUAUUUUAUCUUGAAAGGUAACCAAAUUGAGAGAUAAGUCUGUUCCAAAAUGGCUUGUAUGUAUCCAUGAAUUAUUAAUGUAAAUUUUACAGAUUGCAAGUUGGAUACAUUGAUAAUACACUGCACAGAUUAAAGUCCCAUAAGAAUAGAAUAUGGGUAUAGCAGUAAUCAAUAUGAUGCACGCCUGUUGCGUAGCAAAUGAUGUGGAUUGAAGUCCCGAAAGGACAAUCCUUUGACAUGUCAAUAUUGAUAUUAUGCACGCCUAAUGCGUAGUAAAUUAUAUGGGUUAAAGUCCCAUAAUAUGGGUUAAGGUCCCAGCAAUUAAUUGACAUGAAUGUAUUAAUCUGUGGCAUGCCUUCAACGUGACAGAUAUAUGGGUUCUAAAUGUUCCAACUCCCUAAAUGGAGAUUAUCC